Molecule: transfer RNA, 72 nt
Filed under: Camelus ferus (Wild Bactrian camel)
Lineage: Eukaryota; Metazoa; Chordata; Mammalia; Artiodactyla; Camelidae
Rfam family: tRNA
About the family: Transfer RNA (tRNA) molecules are approximately 80 nucleotides in length. Their secondary structure includes four short double-helical elements and three loops (D, anti-codon, and T loops).
Source: Rfam by way of RNAcentral
GAGGGUAUAACUUGGCGGUAGAGUGUGUGCUUAGCAAGUACGAGGUCCUGGGUUGAAUCCCCAGUACCUCCA